AGGCUCACUAGUCAGAGACACUAGAGAGGGCAGGAUGUUCUCUGGCUGUCUUUGUACUACUGGAGACUCAGGCCUCAAAAAGAGACAACAGGGAAGACCACAGUGUUGUCUUGAGGCACAGGGUUCACUCUUGCUUCCCUGAAAGGGAAAAAUCUUGUCCAAGGACCGGGACCACACAGACCAGGGUGAGAAUGCUUCUACCUAAGAGACCUAAGAGAGCCCCAGAGAGAGUCACACAUCAGUGCAGAGACUAUAGUUAAGCUGAACAGCCUGGUGCCUUCUCUGCAGGAAUGGGAUUCCUUCUUUGCCACCCCCCCCCAUACUGGACCUGCUCUUCAUGAGGUAUGCAAACUUCGGCUCUUAUUCUGAAGGGGAUGAACAAAUAAAGGGCACCCUCUGUAGCUUCAUGGACACUUGGAUAGACAGGAAUCCUGAGGACUUUUGCCAGCCCUCAGACCUGCUGAUUCUGAAAUACCUAAAGGCCUCCUUCAGAGUGUACAUGGCACACUCAGAUCUUAGUAUCCGUGUCAAUAGGCUCCUGACCAUGUUGCAAGAAAAAAAAAAAAAAGAAGGCCAAGGAUUCACAGACCCAGGAUGAGGAAGACUCACAUCUGGGGAGACACACACCCUCAGAUCCAGAGAUACAAUGGGUGUAAAUCGGCAGGGAAAACAGCAAAUCUGGAGCCAGAUCCAACUUGUGCACCACAGCUGGAGACCCUCAAUAGAGCACCAGAAAAUUUUGUGGCACAUGAGUAGCUGCAGCCAGAUGUGGCACCAGCAGUCCUGCACACCUGAUAAGCACCUGUGGAAACUGUCUCAGCAUGUCUGUAGAUACAGUGUAUCUUUCAGUUAUCUCCUGCUUGCUACAGGGGGCCUACCUAUUUAAAUAAUGGCCCUGUCAUUGCCUGUUAUCAAUUUGGGUCUAUCCUAUAUCUGCGCUGUUGCUCCUGCCCCUCAUUAUCAGCCCCUGAAUUCAAUCCAGUAGCAGUUCCAGCCCCAUAG
RNA transcript from Mus musculus (house mouse), 1002 nucleotides. It is a transcript of the gene named RIKEN cDNA 4930573C08 gene, with no coding region annotated. The transcript has a single exon. The record is from RefSeq and is a predicted model, not a curated record. Lineage: Eukaryota; Metazoa; Chordata; Mammalia; Rodentia; Muridae.